GGUGGUUCUUGGGUGAUGCACCCAGGAACUAGAGAGGAGGAAGACUGAUUCUGGUGUGCGUCACCUGAGAACUGCC
Myotis davidii is the source of this 76-nucleotide non-coding RNA. The record is from Rfam. Lineage: Eukaryota; Metazoa; Chordata; Mammalia; Chiroptera; Vespertilionidae.